AGAAAGGAAUUGAGCCAAGGAUGACUUGCCGGUUUAUAUUCAAACGGUUCAUGAUGACCAUUGUUUUGGUCACAUACUCAGCCCUUUGGUUGUGUCUGGCAAGUUGACCUUGGCUCUGUUUCGUUCUCU
RNAcentral lists this microRNA precursor (129 nucleotides) under Brassica napus (rape). RNAcentral also lists the same sequence under 2 other names. Lineage: Eukaryota; Viridiplantae; Streptophyta; Magnoliopsida; Brassicales; Brassicaceae. The record is from RNAcentral.